CAUGACUCAAUCCUCUGAACCCAAGCAGCUUCUGGGCGCAGCAUGACCACAUCGACCCAAGGCUCGAAAGCUUCUAUCUCCAAGAGGUGGGAACUGAAGAAGUCACACUUUUAGAGGAAGGAGAAGGAGUGCAACAUUAUGAGUACAAACCCAAACUGAAUCUUCUGCAUCAGGAAAGAAAUGUGCUCUGCUGAUGUCAAGGAGAGCUCCUUACAAAGAGACAUUUUUUCAGAAAAACAUGAUCAGCAGUAUAUGCACCAUCAAGGUACAGACUUGCUCAGGAAGAUGGACCAGCAGAGCCCAGUUUGUCUCAGGAUGAGCACUGACCAUGGGAAGGCUGAGCCCCAUCAGCAGGAUG
RNAcentral lists this long non-coding RNA (358 nucleotides) under Parus major (Great Tit). RNAcentral's name for it is "lncRNA (ENSPMJG00000008248.1)". The record is from RNAcentral. Lineage: Eukaryota; Metazoa; Chordata; Aves; Passeriformes; Paridae.